UGGGGAAUAUUGCACAAUGGGCGCAAGCCUGAUGCAGCCAUGCCGCGUGUAUGAAGAAGGCCUUCGGGUUGUAAAGUACUUUCAGCGGGGAGGAAGGCGAUAAGGUUAAUAACCUUGUCGAUUGACGUUACCCGCAGAAGAAGCACCGGCUAACUCCGUGCCAGCAGCCGCGGUAAUACGGAGGGUGCAAGCGUUAAUCGGAAUUACUGUGCGUAAAGCGCACGCAGGCGGUCUGUCAAGUCGGAUGUGAAAUCCCCGGGCUCAACCUGGGAACUGCAUUCGAAACUGGCAGGCUAGAGUCUUGUAGAGGGGGGUAGAAUUCCAGGUGUAGCGGUGAAAUGCGUAGAGAUCUGGAGGAAUACCGGUGGCGAAGGCGGCCCCCUGGACAAAGACUGACGCUCAGGUGCGAAAGCGUGGGGAGCAAACA
Molecule: ribosomal RNA, 427 nt
Filed under: uncultured bacterium
Lineage: Bacteria
Description: partial 16S ribosomal RNA
Rfam family: Bacterial small subunit ribosomal RNA
Source: RNAcentral